RNAcentral lists this ribosomal RNA (506 nucleotides) under uncultured bacterium. RNAcentral describes it as "partial 16S ribosomal RNA". It matches the Rfam family "Bacterial small subunit ribosomal RNA", at positions 29 to 523 of the family's 1533-position model. The record is from RNAcentral.
AGUGAACGCUGGCGGUAGGCCUAACACAUGCAAGUCGAACGGCAGCACAGGAGAGCUUGCUCUCUGGGUGGCGAGUGGCGGACGGGUGAGGAAUACAUCGGAAUCUACUCUGUCGUGGGGGAUAACGUAGGGAAACUUACGCUAAUACCGCAUACGACCUACGGGUGAAAGCAGGGGACCUUCGGGCCUUGCGCGAUUGAAUGAGCCGAUGUCGGAUUAGCUAGUUGGCGGGGUAAAGGCCCACCAAGGCGACGAUCCGUAGCUGGUCUGAGAGGAUGAUCAGCCACACUGGAACUGAGAUACGGUCCAGACUCCUACGGGAGGCAGCAGUGGGGAAUAUUGGACAAUGGGCACAAGCCUGAUCCAGCCAUACCGCGUGGGUGAAGAAGGCCUUCGGGUUGUAAAGCCCUUUUGUUGGGAAAGAAAUCCAGCUGGCUAAUACCCGGUUGGGAUGACGGUACCCAAAGAAUAAGCACCGGCUAACUUCGUGCCAGCCGCCGCAGUAA